RNAcentral lists this ribosomal RNA (468 nucleotides) under uncultured bacterium. RNAcentral's name for it is "partial 16S ribosomal RNA". It matches the Rfam family "Bacterial small subunit ribosomal RNA", at positions 28 to 507 of the family's 1533-position model. The record is from RNAcentral.
GACGAACGCUGGCGGCGUGCUUAACACAUGCAAGUCGAACGGAAAGGCCCUGCUCUUGUGGGGCGCUCGAGUGGCGAACGGGGGAGUAACACGUGAGUAUACUGCCCCUGUCUGUGUGAUAACUUUACGAAACUGGGGCUAAUAUCGGAGAGGAGCUACUGCUGCACGGUGGGGGAUGGUAAGUUUCGGCGGUUGGGGAUGGACUCGCGGCUUAUCAGCUUGUUGGUGGGGUAGUGGCUUACCACGGUUUUGACGGGUAGCCGGCCUGGGAGGGUGGACGGCCACAUUGGGCCUGCGGUACGGCCCAGUCUCCUACGGGCGGCAGUAGUGGAGAGUAUUGCGCAGUGGGCGGGCGCCUGUGGCGGCAGCGCCGCGUGCGGAAUGCCGUCCUUCGGGUUGUGAACAGAUUUCGCAUGAGCCGAGGCGUGAGUGACGGUAAUGGGUAAGAAAGCACCGGCUAACUACGUG